RNAcentral lists this long non-coding RNA (1426 nucleotides) under Homo sapiens (human). RNAcentral describes it as "HSALNT0128383". Lineage: Eukaryota; Metazoa; Chordata; Mammalia; Primates; Hominidae. The record is from RNAcentral.
ACUUAAGAAGACACAUUGGCAGAGAUUACUCUAAAUUCACAAAGAAAACUCUGAGGUAAUGCCAAAUAAACUGUUAUGUAAUCAUUUAUUAAGCAUGUGGGAUUACUCAAACAUACCAGUUACCUAAUCUUUCAAGUGGAAAAAAUAUUUCAUUGGUGGUGAAGUAGGGAAUGGGGAUCAGGGAUGAGCAAACCAGAUAAAAUAUUUUAAAAAUUCUAUUCAUGUACUCCAAAAAUCUGGGGCUGUUCUAAUCUUAAAACUUGCCUCAGUGGCUGCUGGUUUAGUUGCAUGAUUAUAAUGUAUUUUCCUUUCUGUUGCAUAUUUUUUUUUAAAUCAGAGUGUGACAGCAUUUUUCUUUGGGUCUUUGCAUGUGCAUAAGCAGAAAAAUCCCAAGCCCUCCACAUUUGAAGUAGAUAUUGGAAUAACCAUUUUAUUUCUGCAUCCAAACCAUCUCUGGUGUCUUAAUGCUACCUGGUAGGCAGGGUACUAUAGUGGUGAAGGGUUUGUAUUAAGACAGACUUUAUUUUGAAGCCCAGCUCUGACAUUUACUAGCUACUUAAAUUUGUGCAAAUUAUUUAAUCUAAGUUUCAUUUGCUUUGGCUGAAAUAUUGUGAUAUCUUGCUCAUAUAAACCAUUUCACAUAGCGUGCAACACUUAAUAAGUGUUCAAUAAAUACUAGUUAGUAUUAUGAGAAUUCUUUUCAACAUGAUUUUCCUCAAAGGAAAAACAUUUUGGUGAUGAAGGUCUGGGAAUGGGGUGAGUACAGCCAUGGGACUUUUGGAAGUCCCUCUAAAUGGCUUCAUCACCGUCAUGAAAAAGUAGUCCAGUUUGAAACUAGGUGAGAGCCCACAUACCAUCACUUCUGUAGAAAGGAGACAGGGCCAGAAGAUGCCACCCUCAGGAAGUCAGAGAGCAGUCUACACUGGGAAAUGCAAACUAAGUGGCUCAACUGUGCCCUCUGGAAACUGUAUUUUAGAAAAAUAUCACUAUGGACUGAUACACAUAUUGCCACUGCAAAGUAGGAUGAAUAUUUGAAGGUGUUCUUGUUACUACUAACAAGAAGUCCAUGAAAGUUUCACUGUGCACCCAUCCUCCAAUAUCUACUCACUUACAAGUUACAGAACCCAUAUAUGAGAAAGCAAAUCCUCCUCUGUGCAUUUUAUAUCCCCCCCAUUGCCCUCUUAAUACCUGCACCUGAAAACUAGUAUUCAUUGCUGUAACGGGAGACAGAAGGAGGGAAUGGCAGAAACUAUAAAACAAAAUUGCAUUGGAUAAUUUCUCCGAGUUGUAAGAAGAAUGAAGGUUAUUACCAUAAUAUUCAGAGAAAAAGUAAAGCAAUGCUUUGAAGUAGUAACUGAAGACUGAGAAGCAAUGCCAUAAUUCUCUGAAACCUGUUGUUUCUUCUAGUUGUCUGUUCAACAUCAUG